Molecule: long non-coding RNA, 802 nt
Filed under: Cricetulus griseus (Chinese hamster)
Lineage: Eukaryota; Metazoa; Chordata; Mammalia; Rodentia; Cricetidae
Description: lncRNA (ENSCGRG00015043137.1)
Source: RNAcentral
CCCAUUUCAGGAAGUAUAUAACACGUCUAGGGAAGCUAGUUUGAGUUAUAGGGUAUUGGCCAAAGGAGUGGAGUACCACCAGUGGAGGUGUUUGUCAGAAAAAGCAGGAGCGGGAAGGACUCUUGCCUUGGAGUCAUGCUGUCCACAGUGGAUUCAGAGGCUGUGACUCACUAAGGAAAAGGAGUGCCCUGUGUCCUAGGAGAGGCUGCUUCUCUCCAAAUAAGAAUUCUUUGGCUGAGGAAGGAAAUGAGGCAAUCUAAGAUUAAUCAGCGGCCACCAGUCGGACAGAGCUAGAAGUCCAAGCCAUAGCCAGCUACUUCUGGUUAACAUUCACCCUUUACCCACAAGGCACCCAGGACACCAACAUGCUGAGUUCUAGUGAGAAAGGGAAUGAGCCCCUCCUUGGGAAGCAAGGAUAUAAAAUCAGAAAGAUGAAGGAGGCUGUAACCCUCCAUGCCCACCCCACAACUCCUUACUUCCUCCAGCUAGACUCCAACUCCUAAAGGUUCCCCAGCCUCUGGAAACAGCGCCCCCAUCUGGAGACCAAGUGAGCAUACACAUGAGCCUAUGAAGGACAUUUCAUGAUCAAAUCACCACAAAAAGUAGUAGGUGUCGGUUCCUCCUUAUCCCUUCCUGAAGAUGCAUCAAGUGGUACUGACGGCCCUUGGGCUGCCUUCCAGACAAGUUAGAACAGCCUGGAUCCGUGCACUCCUACUGUGUCAGCAUGAACAACAAUUAAAAUAAUAUUUCAACUUGCAGAUAAGCAAACGAGCACUCACCUAGAGGAUCUUUAAUGCCUGUG